Molecule: ribosomal RNA, 1266 nt
Filed under: Ixodes ovatus
Lineage: Eukaryota; Metazoa; Arthropoda; Arachnida; Ixodida; Ixodidae
Description: 16S ribosomal RNA
Rfam family: Archaeal large subunit ribosomal RNA (bases 837-1165)
Source: RNAcentral
UUUUAAAUUUUAUAAAAAAUUUUUUGAAAAGAGAUUUUUUUAAUAAAGGUUUAUAUAUAAUGGUAUAAUUAUUUUGAUAGUAAAUUUUAAAUUACUGUGAAGGAGGGUUAUGAAAAUAAUGAAAUAUUUAAAAGUUUUAAAAGUAUGAGAUUUGAGUACCUUUUGCAUUAGGGUUUUUUAAAAAAAUUAAUGGUUUUUAAUUUCCCGAAGUCAAAUGAUCUACUGAAAUAUUUAUUUUUAUGUUGAAUUAUAAGGAUUAAUUUUUUAGUAGUAAUGAAAUUUUUUUCAAAUUUGAGGUUAUCUGGUUAUUAUAAUGAGAUUAUAUGUCUGAUUAUUAAGAAUAUAUUUAUGUAGAAAAUAUUUAUAAUAAUUUAUAUUUGCAGGGAUAAGCUUGUAAAUUGGUUUUAAAUUUAUUAAAAUUUAGAAUUAAGGAUUAGAAUUUUCUUAAUCUUAUAAUAAAGGAUUUUUAAAAAUAAAAAAGUUUAAUAAAAUUUAGUUAAUGAUUAAAAUAAUUUUUUAUUAAUGAAAAUAUGAAGAAAUUAGUAAAAGUUAAUUUUUAUUCUAGAGAUUAAAAAAGAGUAAUUAAUUUGGGAAGUUAAACUAAAGGAACUCGGCAAAUUAAAUUUUUUAGUCGUCUGUUUAUCAAAAACAUUUCAUUUUGGAGUAAUAAAAUGUAUAAUCUGCUCAAUGAGAUUUAAAUUGCUGUGGUAUUUUGACUAUACGAAGGUAUUGAAAUAAGGCUUUAAAUGAGUGCUAAGAGAAUGGUUGAACGAUUAAAGGCUUUCUUUAGUUAAUAAAUUGAAGUUAAUGUUUUUGUGAAGAAGCAAAAAUGAUAAUUAGGGACAAGAAGACCCUAUGAAUUUUUAAAUCAAGAUAUUGUUUAUUUUAAAUAUUUUGAUUUUAAUUGGGGUGAUAGGAAAAGAAUGAUUAUCUUUUCUUUAUGAGUUAAUUUGACCCAUUAGUAAUGAUUAAAUGAUUAAAAUACUCUAGGGAUAACAGCGUAAUAAUUUCGGAUAGUUCUUAUAGAUGAAAUAGUUUGCGACCUCGAUGUUGGAUUAGGAUACUUUUUUGGUGGAGAAAUUAAUAUAAAGAAGUUUGUUCAACUUUUAAAAUCCUACAUGAUCUGAGUUCAGACCGGCGUGAGCCAGGUUGGUUUCUAUCUUAAUAUAAAAGUAUAAUUUUUUUAGUACGAAAGGAAUGAGAAAUAUUAAUUUUAGUUAAUUAAAGUGAUUAUUAAUGAAAAUUAGACUAGUUUGGCAGAAAAAU